CAAUUUAUAACUUUAUAGGAAAGUAUUUCAGUUACAUUGAAACCAAGUUUGUGCGAUUCAAACUAAAUUGA
Molecule: transfer RNA, 71 nt
Filed under: Culicoides wadai
Lineage: Eukaryota; Metazoa; Arthropoda; Insecta; Diptera; Ceratopogonidae
Description: tRNA-Val
Source: RNAcentral